RNAcentral lists this long non-coding RNA (431 nucleotides) under Cavia porcellus (domestic guinea pig). Its description in RNAcentral is "lncRNA (ENSCPOG00000033958.1)". Lineage: Eukaryota; Metazoa; Chordata; Mammalia; Rodentia; Caviidae. The record is from RNAcentral.
CAUUUAGGGAGCUUCAAAAUGCACGUGGCUUUUGUUAAGCAGAAUCAUAUUUCUGUUAUAGCUGCCUUGCUUUGGGGAAGCUGGACUGAGAGACCUGAGAAUUUCAGAGAAGGCAAAUGUCAGACAGGAAGCCAAGAAAGAAGUGAAAGGAAGCCUGGCCUAUGUGUCUUCUCUCUAGCCAUGGAUUUGCAGCUGGACUCCUGAAGCCACCCGUCUCUACUAAAAGGACAGCAACACACACCAGCAGCUGAAUCAUGUGCAGCUUUGAGACAGAACAAGGGAGUGCAGUGAAAUAUAACAGAGGGGCUACACACCGUGGAUAUGGCAGAGGGGGAUGAAACUGGCGGCCUAAUAGAGGUCUGGUGUGAGUUCAUGUUAUAUAAAAUAUAAGAAUGGAUUUUAGGAACAGUGGUUUAAAAGCAGAGUGUAUU